UUUGUAGGCUGAGAAGGAAAAUGUUCGAGUUCAUCUUGAUGUAUUCUCCUGUCAAACAGGAAUCUCACUGUUUACUCAGCUCAACAAAAACUGGGUUUACGAUAAAACUGAAAACUUAACAUUGCAGGAGUUAGAAGACAACUACACUCAUUUACUUAUAUCAGGACAAAACAAGUAUUCCUUGGAGAUGAAACACUUUUUAGGAAAU
Eurytemora carolleeae is the source of this 208-nucleotide long non-coding RNA. RefSeq lists it as uncharacterized. NCBI's taxonomy places the organism in Eukaryota, Metazoa, Arthropoda, Copepoda, Calanoida, Temoridae. The transcript has 4 exons. The record is from RefSeq and is a predicted model, not a curated record.